GGCCUACCAUGGUGGUAACGGGUAACGGGGUGUUAGGGCACGACACCGGAGAGGGAGCCUGAGAAACGGCUACCACAUCCAAGGAUGGCAGCAGGCGCGCAAAUUACCCAAUCCCGACACGGGGAGGUAGUGACAAUAAAUAACAAUACGGGGCUCUUUAGGGUCUCGUAAUUGGAAUGAGUACAAUUUAAAUCUCUUAACGAGGAACAAUUGGAGAGCAAGUCUGGUGCCAGCAGCCGCGGUAAUUCCAGCUCCAAUAGCGUAUAUUAAAGUUGUUGCAGUUAAAAAGCUCGUAGUUGAAUUUCGGGGUCAGCAGGUUGGUCGUGCCACUGGUAUGCACUGGUUUCGCUGAUUCCUCCUUUCUGAAGAACUGUAAUGCCAUUAAUUUGGUGUUGCAGGGAAACAGGACUGUUACUUUGAAAAAAUUAGAGUGUUUAAAGCAGGCUAACGCUUGAAUACAUUAGCAUGGAAUAAUGAAAUAGGACGUUUGAUCCUAUUUUGUUGGUUUCUAGGAUUGACGUAAUGAUUAAUAGGGAUAGUUGGGGGCAUUAGUAUUCAAUUGUCAGAGGUGAAAUUCUUGGAUUUAUUGAAGACUAACUACUGCGAAAGCAUUUGCCAAGGAUGUUUUCAUUAAUCAAGAACGAAAGUUAGGGGAUCGAAGACGAUCAGAUACCGUCGUAGUCUUAACCAUAAACUAUGCCGACUAGGGAUCGGAUGAUGUUAAUUUUUUAAUGACUCAUUCGGCGCCUUACG
Molecule: ribosomal RNA, 753 nt
Filed under: uncultured Glomus
Lineage: Eukaryota; Fungi; Glomeromycota; Glomeromycetes; Glomerales; Glomeraceae
Description: SSU rRNA
Rfam family: Eukaryotic small subunit ribosomal RNA
Source: RNAcentral